AUACGGAGGAUGCAAGCGUUAUCCGGAUUUAUUGGGUUUAAAGGGUGCGUAGGCGGUUUGCUAAGCGGGAGGUGAAAUGCCGGCGCUCAACGUCGGAAGUGCCUCCCGCACUGGUGGACUGGAAUGACUCUGCCGUGGGAGGAAUGUGUAGUGUAGCGGUGAAAUGCUUAGAGAUUACACAGAACACCGAUUGCGAAGGCAUCUCACGAAGGGUUGAUUGACGCUGAGGCACGAAAGCGUGGGGAUCAAACAGGAUUAGAUACCCUGGUAGUCCACGCCGUAAACGAUGGAUACUAGGUGUAGGGGGCAUCGACUCCCUCUGUGCCGCAGUUAACACAAUAAGUAUUCCGCCUGGGGAGUACGGCCGCAAGGUUGAAACUCAAAGGAAUUGACGGGG
This 397-nucleotide ribosomal RNA is filed under the name uncultured bacterium. Its description in RNAcentral is "partial 16S ribosomal RNA". It matches the Rfam family "Bacterial small subunit ribosomal RNA", at positions 523 to 918 of the family's 1533-position model. The record is from RNAcentral.